UGGGGUCCCAGUGACGGCCCCAAAAAUUUACCUAGGGUUGACGGUCUUUAUUAGUCUCUCGUCGGUGACACUGCAUUCACGCGUAUUUUUUUCAGAACGCGGCGAACCGGUUUUGGAACGAGUAACAUCGCGAAUCCUUUAACAGAACACGGCGCGGACUCGAUGUGGAUUGAAGCCGGAGCGAGCAGCGUCGCGACUCGUUUAACAGAACGCAGCGUACGCAGAAAGGACCAACUCUAAAAUCAAUGGCGUUACGAUUUAUUUAUUAUAUUACCAUAUUUGACAAUUAAACUAGCAAGCUAAAUACUCUGAGAGAAGGAAAAGGCCUGGGCGAGGCAUCAAACCUCAGCGGAGCAACCUUGGG
Solenopsis invicta (red fire ant) is the source of this 364-nucleotide long non-coding RNA. RefSeq lists it as uncharacterized. The record is from RefSeq and is a predicted model, not a curated record. Lineage: Eukaryota; Metazoa; Arthropoda; Insecta; Hymenoptera; Formicidae. The transcript is spliced from 4 exons.